UAAUACGUAGGGUGCAAGCGUUGUCCGGAAUUAUUGGGCGUAAAGAGCUCGUAGGCGGUCUGUCGCGUCGGAUGUGAAACCCCGGGGCUCAACCCCGGGCCUGCAUUCGAUACGGGCAGACUAGAGUUCGGUAGGGGAGACUGGAAUUCCUGGUGUAGCGGUGAAAUGCGCAGAUAUCAGGAGGAACACCGGUGGCGAAGGCGGGUCUCUGGGCCGAUACUGACGCUGAGGAGCGAAAGCGUGGGGAGCGAACAGGAUUAGAUACCCUGGUAGUCCACGCCGUAAACGUUGGGCGCUAGGUGUGGGGGACUUUCCACGUCCUCUGUGCCGCAGCUAACGCAUUAAGCGCCCCGCCUGGGGAGUACGGCCGCAAGGCUA
RNAcentral lists this ribosomal RNA (378 nucleotides) under uncultured bacterium. RNAcentral's name for it is "bacterial SSU rRNA". It matches the Rfam family "Bacterial small subunit ribosomal RNA", at positions 521 to 896 of the family's 1533-position model. The record is from RNAcentral.